RNAcentral lists this transfer RNA (58 nucleotides) under Clostridioides difficile F253. RNAcentral describes it as "partial tRNA-Gln". It matches the Rfam family "tRNA", at positions 1 to 56 of the family's 71-position model. From Rfam's summary of the family: Transfer RNA (tRNA) molecules are approximately 80 nucleotides in length. Their secondary structure includes four short double-helical elements and three loops (D, anti-codon, and T loops). The record is from RNAcentral. Lineage: Bacteria; Bacillati; Bacillota; Clostridia; Peptostreptococcales; Peptostreptococcaceae.
UGGGGAUUAGCCAAGUCGGUAAGGCACAUGACUUUGACUCAUGUAUGCGUAGGUUCGA